GCAAGGAGAACAGUUAGGAGGCUACCACAAUCAUUCCAGACAAAGAGGAUGGUGACUGGGGUCAGGAGACCGAAGAGGUAGCUGUGGAGGUGAUGAGACAUGGCCAGGUUCUGAAACUGUUUUGAAAGAAAGCCAGCAGGCUUGCUGAUAGAUGUGACAUGGGAUGUGAGAGGAAUAGAGAACCGAGCCAAACUCCAGGUUUCUGGCCUGAGCAACUGGAAGGAUGGACUUGCCUUAACUGAGAUAAGGAGGAUGGUGGGAGCAGCAAGUUUCGAAGCAAGACAGGAUGGCUGUAUUCCUGGCCAUCGCUCUGUUUUUCAAGCACUUGCUUCCUGGCACGAGAAGAUGCUUCACGCUCACCCUGUAGAACCCUUUCUCAGUCCUAGGAUCAGCCGUUUCUCUAAGGUACUGUGCUUCCUUUUAUUGGAGAACAGUAUUAGAAACCAAGGUCUGGGCAUGACUAAGGAAUUAUGGAGAUAACCUCCAGCUCUGAAACAAUAGGAUCCUGGACUUAGGAUAAAAGUAGUUCCGAAGUCAUUAGGUUAUUGGGAGCAUGAAAUGAGAUCUGCCAUGUUCCAUACAUACUAGUGGGGUGUUUCUCUCCUCUUCCCUCUGGUUUCUGAUUGGGUUUGUUUUUCUUGGCUCUCCCAAUCCCAACUCAGAAGAAGAUAUCUGUGGGGCUUUCCCACCCAGUACCUGGAAAAACAUCCAGAAUUUCCUUUGUGGAACCCCACACCCCCAAGGGGCCCAUGGGAGUUAGGCUCAGAAGCUUUCAUCAGCUGUUGGAGCGGGGAAGCUCUCUCUUCUUUGCUGGACUCAAGUUGGGCUAGAAACCAUCUGGCAACCAGGAGGAAGGGACCCAAGAGUAUCCAAGACACACAGAAGUCCAGGCUGAGCCCUCUCUCCACCCUGCAGGUGGGCUGGGGCUGAGGGGAGAGUGGGGGGCAUGCGGAUUCGGGGGACCUGGAAGCAGCACAAGGACACGUCUCUCUCUGGCAGGGGUUGGGUUGGUCAUGGGAGGGUGGCGUUUGCUCGUUCUCAGCCCCGGGUGCUCUCCAGGCAUAGCCAUCACGCCCCCAGAUGGGAGGAGAAUGACUCAGGCACGCCCUCUCCCUGUGGGGGCAGAGUUGGGGUGGCAAGUGGAGCAAGAAAUGCCACAUCAUAUGGCUGAGGAGUGAUCCGGGGCAGUGUUCCCCGGGGCAGCAGCACAAGCACACGCCCAGCCCUAACCCUGCCCACCCAGACCAGAAGCGCUCCAGCCCUUCAGUUCCCUCGUAACGCAUGUUUCAGAUGCAUUGUUUUCUCCACUGGAUUAAAGAGUCAUUCAUUUAAGGCGCUCUGAUGGUUAUUUCAUGUCUCCCAAAGCAUAUUUUUUCUCAGGAAGAUCAGUUCCAAGGAAACACCCGGAGUCUGUGGAAAUUAAACCUAUUAGCAAGUGAAAAAUGGCCAAUUGCUAAAGGUAAAGGUCUUUGACUAAGAAUAAGCAAUAUGAAAGCUAACUGGCUGUCCUGUUGUGGGCCCUAGAGUGGGAUUUAUGUAGGGGCUUUAUCAGUCUUGCUAUUUUAUUUUUCCCCAGUGGUUGAAAUGAAACUUUAUUUCUGAGUCCUGAGAGGAGGAUUAAAGGAGGCUCAUUCUAGAGCAAAUCAGCCCCUCCUGGUGGAAAGGGGGCCCUCACGGAUCACCCCCAAAGGGAUCUCUGUUCCUUAAACCCAGUGGCUAUGUUGGGAACAGCCUCAGGUUCCCACAGCCCCCCUCUACCCACCCACUGCAGUUGGUUUGGGCACCCAACAGGGACAGUGGGGAUCAAGGAACCCUAAAAUGCCACCUCAGCACCACUGUUUAUCAAGAAAGGGGGACAUUCGGGGAUUCUGAACUAGCAAAGACCAUUUUUAGAGGCCAUGGGGGAGGAAAAGGGGGGAAAGAAAUGUUCCCCUAGUUCUAGAACACCUGAAAAAAGGGGUGAUUUCUGAAGAUUCUGAGUGCUGGAAAGGGGCAAAGGCCCAAAGCUUCAUAUGAUGCUAGGAUCCCCACAAAAAAAUUGACACCUUUUAGAAAUAAGAUCAGCUCCCAGCCACUGGCAGCUUAUUAUGUGACCAGUCCUGUGCUAAAAGCUUUGCUAAAAGCUUUACAUGUAUUACUUCAUUUAAACUGCAUAAUAACCCAAUGACACCAUAACGUGACAUGUAAAAUGACACCUUUACAGUGGGGGAAACUGAGGCUCAAAGAGGUAAAGCCAUUUGCUCUAAAACACCCAAAAGCUGUGAUGUGAUUCAAACCUAGGUGGUCCUUAUAUUAUGCCUUUCAAUAAGUAGUCAUCUAAUUCUUACUUGCAUACCCCCAAGGACAGGGAGCUCACCACUCACCAAAGUAGACCAUUCCAUCUUGACAGCUUUCACUGUUGGAAAGCCCUUCAGGCCACAUUGAGGAUAGUUACUCCUUCCCUGUGGCAGCCCUUCCUGUAUUUGAAGACAACUUGUGUCUCCACAGGGUUUUUCAUCUCCAGGUUUUACGGUCCCAUUGCCUUCACCAUUACUCAUCACACAUCCUUCACGAAGCUUGCUGCUCUGACAAAGCUUGAGGAUCCCGCCUCCUUUUACCUUGUUGGACAAAGCUGGAGGCAGCUCUCCAAGGAAGAGCUUACAGGGGAGAACAGUGCCAAACUCAUAAUAGCAGCAACAAUUGCAGCGGAAUUAAACACAACUUUGCACCAUCCCACCCCUGCGAUUAAGCUGUAGCCGCAGUGCUCAGCCAGAAUGCGCAGAGCUCUCCCUCUCCCCCCCUCUCCCCCCUCCCUAUGAGAUAGCAGGUGCUCACAAGCAGGGGAGCUCACACCUCUCAGGGAACAGCUGGGCUCACUCUGUGAGGUGGGAUCAUGGGCUCUGCAUCAGAGGAGUCACAGCAGGUCUGUGCCAGGUCCCUCAGGCUUGUGCUGACAUAUGGUGGCAGGGCUGGGAAGAGUUCAUGCAUCUUCAAGCCUCCUGUCAUGAGACGCAUUCUACCUUAGAGUCAAAUCAGUGUGGGAGAGGGGCCAGCAGCCAUUUUCUGGAUGUCUGUAGUCUGCAGGGGAAACAAACACUGUCCAGCUGGACCUGCUGAUGUGGGAGGCACCAUGGCCAGUGGGGAAAUCAUGGCCCUUGAGGUUGGGCAGAUCUGAGUGUGAAUCCUGGCUCUUAAGAGCUGUGUGACCCUGGGCUAGUCACUCAGCCUCUCUGGGCCCCAGUUUCCUCACCAGACACGUGGAGCUGAUAAUAAUCACCUUUCAGGGAUUGUUUCACUUUUAGAGUCAAAUGAGAUCUUCAACGUGAUGGCCUGGAUGCGUGCCUCACAUACGUAUAUAUAUGCCUUUCCUCAUAAAUCAAUGGUGAGAAAGAUGCAGAGAAUGCUAGGAGUUUAGACAGCUGCACAUAUGAAUUUCUACUUUUUCCCCUCUUACCUCACAUUGGACCAGGCCUCUAGCUCACCUGGCUCUUUAUACAGAAUGUUCCCCUGGCCCAGGCACCUCCACGCCCUCCCAGAUUUUCUGUGCCAUUCCCAGUGGCUCCACCUCUGUCUCCAGGCUCCGCCCACUCUUCUUUGUCCCCACCUUUAGGGACUGAACUUUCUCCAAUGCCCUCAGGUCAUCUCCCUCACUCAAAUACAAAUUCCCUGUUUAGGGAGACCAUGGCGAGGUCAUCUCUACAUUGAAACCAGGCGUAUGCCAGGCCCCCGAGGGAUGUGUGUGGGCCAUGGGGUUUGACCCGGAUGGCAGGGAGGGCAGCUCUGCUCCUCUGCCUUCCACCUGCCCGGUACUUCACCAAAGACCAAAUCCAGCUGGAUGGACCAGGAACCCAGUACACACCCCAGAUCCAAGGAGAAGAGCAGACCAAGGACCAGCUGUGAUGAGUGGGGAAAACGGUGCCUGAAACUUAGCAUCAAAAGGGGCUGGAGCAUGGAAUGGGAGCUCUCAUGUGGUGAGAGACAGUGGACAGAGCAGGGAUUCCAGCUGACCCAUGUGCAUCAUUACCAGGUUUGUGGGAGUCACUGUGCCCAGCACAUAGUAGGCACUUCGUAGAUAUUUAUUGAAAGAGUGAAGUAGAUGCUCAACAAAUGGUGGCUUUCAUUGUUAUUCUAGUAAUCACAUGGUCUCGAGGGGGAAAAGAUGCCCAUUGUCCCAGAUACAUCUGGUAGAUGAGCCAGCGCUCACGCCCCCUGGCCCGAGGGUCAAGGAGGACCUAAAGGCCAAAUUUUCUCUGAUGACCUGACCAGUGGAUAUUUCUACAUGGGCACUGGAGCCACUGCCAGCCAUAAUACGCCAGCCAGUAUGCACUUUCCUUCCUGCAGCAGUGGGCUGCCAGGCCAUGACAACUCACUGCCUGGCCCCCACCUCCUAAAUUAGAGAUCAGGGAGGAACUUGCAUCCAUCCUGCUUGCUCAGUGACCAAAAUUCACUCUGAGAGCAAGACUGGUCGGUUUCACUGUGCCCAUAGGCAGGAGUGGAAUAGGGUUUACAGGCAGGCAGAGCUGUGGAGUCAGAGACCAGUUGGGCAGCUGGAGAUGAUGAUGGGACCAUAAAUAAGCCUCCAUUCUGCAGGGUUGUCAUGAAUGUUAGUGGAAAGCGCCUGACACAGUGCCUGGCAUACAGUGGGCUCUCCCGAGAUGGUAGCUGUCAUCCGUAGUGCAUGGAUGGAGCUGAGAUAUUUGAAAUGGAAUCUCUCAGCUGCCUGGCCUCGCAUCUCUUGGCCCAGGAGCUGGGUCCAGUCUGUUCAAGGAGAUGAAAACGACAAACUCUCAGGCUGCACAGAAAAUGUGCUAAUGGUGAGUUGCAGGGGCAGUGGGUCCCUUGUGCAGAGGGUGAGAUGUUCACAGCAGUAGAGAAAGACAAGAGGGCAGGAUUAGGUAAGUGACAGGCACUAACCUUUUCUGUGUUCAACAUGUGCUCCAUCCAAUUUGAAGAGGAAGGUAACCUUUAAAGGCUAUGUCUUCUUCUCAAAAUAAAUAAAGUUGAUGGCAUCCAAGUAACACAUGGUGACUGAAUUCUCCCAGGUCAACCUUUUCCCCCUCUGAUAUAUUCUCCAGAUGGAAUUUGAACUGGAUGUAAAAUGCGUCAGCAGUAUGCUCUGUUCACGUGGGAGACAGAGCACAUGUAUUUCAUUUGGAGUGAGACUGACAGCCACUUUGGAUCAGCAAAUGUGGCUUUUCAGUGCAAGUGGUGAGGGGUGGGGCUCUAAAAAGCAAAGCGAGCCACAGGGCAAAUCAGCCUCCAGCUUUUCAAAGGCAGUGCUUCGAGCCUGAAUGUUUCUGGCACAGAAUCCAGAGGCGAGAUAAAACAUCACCCCAGAGAGUAUGGGGGUGGGGGGGCACAUCUGAGCAGGGGCCUGGGCAGGGCCGGACUCCUGGGUGGGAUGGUGAUCUGGUAAGCUGUUGCUGUCUCUCCCUAGUCUCAGGGUCCCCGAUGUGUAAAAUAGAGCUAUUGGGCCAAUUGGCGUCUAAGGCACCUUCUGAGUCAAACAUGAUAAUAAGUCUAGGUGAGGCCUGGCCGGAGGAUGGUAAGUGAGCAGGGUGUGGAAAGGAGUCGGGAAGGACCACCAUGAUGAACGUGCCAUUGUCUUUACCACUUCAGUCCAGGAUCCACGUUCAGCCACCAGCCCCUGCAGUUGCCUGGGGGGUUUUCUCUGGUCACCAAAUCCCAUUCCAAUGCCCUGUGUGGCAGAAUUUAACCAUCUGGGCAAUAAUGCCCUUGCCCUGGGAAGAGCCCUCCGCCAGUGCCGAGGUAGCAGGCGCUAUAUAUAAACAACCAGCUCCCGCACUGCCCUGGUGGGUGGUUUCCCAUCCGAUCACCCUCUGGCCACCCACAGUGGUAAUUGAGGUGAUAAAACGGCCUUUAUUGGAGGGCUUACCCUCCUGUCUCACCUCUCCACUGCCCUCACAGGUUUUCUUCACCUCCCAACAUAAUCGCAGACACUGACUCCUUGUCAUAGGUUCUGCCACCAGGGAACCCCAAACUAAGAUGAUAACUGAGAAACAGAGAGGGGCACAGGGGCAUUCUGGGAGGGUGCUCAUCCCAAGGGUAUGUCCAGUUAGUGGGAGUUCUUUGAGCUGUACGCUUACAGUGUGCAUGCUUUCCUUUAUAUAUAUAUGUUACAUUAUGGCAUAACGAAUGUGUGUUUAUAAAAAAGAACAGGACCCUUUUUUACUGAGAUGCCCGGAAUAUGCUGGAGGGGUGAGGUGGCAGGAGUCACACUGGACAGAUACCCAGCACCCAGAGCACAUGUACAAAGACGUUAAUUUUGUCAAAUGAUGUGUGAACGAAUGAAUUAAUUAGAAAAUACAUGAACCAUUGAGGAAAUGAAUAAAGCAAAGAAUAGUGAAUAAAUGCAUGAAUGAGGCAAUGAACGGAUGAGCACAUUCAGCAGUGAGUGUAUCAAUGAGUCAAUGAAAGAAGGAAUCCCUGGUGACUGAGUGAGGA
This is a long non-coding RNA of Hipposideros armiger (great roundleaf bat), 6444 nucleotides long. RefSeq lists it as uncharacterized. The record is from RefSeq and is a predicted model, not a curated record. NCBI's taxonomy places the organism in Eukaryota, Metazoa, Chordata, Mammalia, Chiroptera, Hipposideridae. The transcript has 3 exons.